RNAcentral lists this ribosomal RNA (256 nucleotides) under uncultured bacterium. RNAcentral's name for it is "partial 16S ribosomal RNA". It matches the Rfam family "Archaeal small subunit ribosomal RNA", at positions 474 to 728 of the family's 1478-position model. The record is from RNAcentral.
UACCAGCACCCCGAGUGGUCGGGACGAUUAUUGGGCCUAAAGCAUCCGUAGCCGGUCAUGCAAGUCUUCCGUUAAAUCCAGCCGCUCAACGGUUGGGCUGCGGAGGAUACUACGUGGCUAGGAGGCGGGAGAGGCAAGCGGUACUCAGUGGGUAGGGGUAAAAUCCUUUGAUCCAUUGAAGACCACCAGUGGCGAAGGCGGCUUGCCAGAACGCGCUCGACGGUGAGGGAUGAAAGCUGGGGGGGAGCAAACCAGG